Non-coding RNA from Pelobates cultripes (western spadefoot toad), 250 nucleotides. Lineage: Eukaryota; Metazoa; Chordata; Amphibia; Anura; Pelobatidae. The record is from the annotation of a GenBank genome assembly.
GCUUAAUUUUAAACUAUCUUGUAUUGUCUUUGUGUUGCAGAUAUGUCUAGUCAUGUCGCUCCAGAUAUUAUUGAUAAAGACAAAUUGACUGCUCCAAUGCCUAAAAAAGCUAAUUAUAAAUCAAAACAUCCACACCACUACCAAAUGUUACAAAAAGAAAGAUUUGCAAUCAGUGUUCAUCCUUAACGCUGGAAAAGUCCAAGCAACAGGACAUGAAAUCAUUUUUAUCUUGGUUUCAAGACAAUCUGGC